RNAcentral lists this long non-coding RNA (821 nucleotides) under Neodiprion pinetum (white pine sawfly). Its description in RNAcentral is "uncharacterized LOC124215000". Lineage: Eukaryota; Metazoa; Arthropoda; Insecta; Hymenoptera; Diprionidae. The record is from RNAcentral.
ACAUUGUCUUCAUAGUUGGCGAGCGGUUAGCCUCGCGAGGUAAACGGCGAAUCGAAUGUGUCUCGAACGUAAUACGGAGUUCACCGAGUGGAAUCGUAUUAAUACCGGGGAUACCUGUAAUAAGUAUACUCGAGUACGGCGGUUCGGAAAAUGAUGGGGGAAACGUCGGUGUCCCGUUGGAAAGCAGUUUGACGAGGGUGUCCGGAAAAUCACGGCACCUGUCGAUUUUCCGCGAAAAUAACCGGAAACGCCCGAUCCUCGGUCGGGUUUCUCGUUCAGGCACCAGCCGUCGCCGUCGUAUCUAGCAGACGACAUGUUGGCUGCACACAGCACCUCGUCUGAGACGUUUCAGCCGGAAAUUUCCUCGAAAAUCGUAUUGUAUUGAAGUGCGUGUCGUACAAAGUGCUGCUCGGAUAUCAUAUCGGGAAUAUCCGCGGUGUUUACGUGGAUUAACAAGUGUUUACCGGCGACAAGGGGUCACCGAGGAUCUCAGGUGAAAACGGAGUGACAGUCAAGUCGAGAAUGCAUGCAGCACGCGGAAUCGACGGGGUGCUGCAGUUAUGGUUUUGUGGUGCGAGGGAGGCGCAACGAAGAAGUAGUGCAGGGUGCGAAGAAGGAGGGCGUUGAAGUGAUUUACUUUAAAAUUAGUUGGGGCGUUGCGUAUCGUAGCUGCCGUCGUUACUCCUUUACGGCAACAGACCGGCUGAUCCUGACUGAAUGUAAAAUUAAAAAAAGAAAAACUAAAGCCAAGACUAAAACUAAAAAUAAAACUAAAACUGUAACCAAUAAUAAAAAAUACAAGGCUAAAAGUAGAUUUAAAA